AUUAAAGGUUGCAAAUAUAAAGUAUUGAACAGGAAACCAGACAUACAUCUUGAUUGGUUCCUUGUCCUUAAUUGGUUCAUCCUAAGCAGUAUACAAAGUUGCACAAAACCAGUUUACCGGCUUUGGGUCAAGGCCAUACAGUUGAGCGUGGAAAUCUGACGACUACGGACUGUGUUAGCAUCCAGGAAAAAUGAGUGAAUUUCACAAAAUAAACAGAGAAACUCUCCAGAAAUUGAAAGAUGUUGCAAAUAAAUUAAGGAUUCAUAGCAUUGAAUCAACUGACGCAAGUAACUCAGG
This 297-nucleotide long non-coding RNA is filed under the name Mytilus galloprovincialis (Mediterranean mussel). Lineage: Eukaryota; Metazoa; Mollusca; Bivalvia; Mytilida; Mytilidae. The record is from RNAcentral.